GACGAACGCUGGCGGCGUGCUUAACACAUGCAAGUCGAACGGAAAGGCCCUGCUUUGGUGGUGUGCGCGAGUGGCGAACGGGUGAGUAACACGUGAGUAACCUGCCCGUGACUUUGGGAUAACUUCAGGAAACUGGGGCUAAUACCGGAUAGGAGCUCCUGCUGCAUGGUGGGGGUUGGAAAGUUUCGGCGGUUGGGGAUGGACUCGCGGCUUAUCAGCUUGGUGGUGGGGAAGUGGCUUACCAAGGCUGUGACGGGUAGCCGGCCUGAGAGGGUGACCGGCCACAUUGGGACUGACAUACGGCCGAGACUCCUACGUGAGGCAGCAGUGGGGAAUAGUGCACCAGGGGCGGAAGCCUGAUGCAGCAACGCCGCGUGCGGGAUGACGGCCUUCGGCUUGUAAACCGCCUUCGCCUGUGACGAAGCGUGAGUGACGGUAAUCGGUAGAGAAGCCCCCGCUAACUACGUG
This 468-nucleotide ribosomal RNA is filed under the name uncultured bacterium. Its description in RNAcentral is "partial 16S ribosomal RNA". It matches the Rfam family "Bacterial small subunit ribosomal RNA", at positions 28 to 507 of the family's 1533-position model. The record is from RNAcentral.